UACAGCCUGUUGUGGGACUAUGGACAAGAACUGAGGAGAAGUAAUCCAGGGAGCAAAUUCAUUGUUUGCACAACCAAAGUGAAGGAAAUAGGUGACCUGCUUCCAAAAGAUCACCUAUCUUCACUAUAUUGGUCCUAUGAUGCCUGCAAGAGAGGUUUCCUGAGGGGGUGCAGGCCAAUUCUAUUUGUUGAUGGCUGUCACCUGAAGAGCAAAUACAAGGGUGUGUUGCUUACAGCUGUUGGGAUUGAUCCCAAUGAUUGCAUAUUUCCAAUUGCAAUGGGGAUGGUGGAGGUGGAGUCAACUUACUCUUGGGAAUGGUUUCUCACCACUUUGAAGAAUGAUUUGAACAUCAUUAACACCUCCCCUUUCACUAUAAUGAGUGACAAGCAAAAGGGUUUGAUCAAUGCUGUUGAGAAGAUAUGGCCAGAUGCAGAACACAGAUUCUGUGUUAGACAUCUUUAUCAAAACUUCCACCAGAAGUUCAAAGGAGAAACACUGAAGAAUAUGUUGUGGGCCAUUGCUAGGUCAACUAAUGCGGACAAGUGGACCUUGAACAGAGAGAAGCUUAGGGCACAGAACUUGGAGGCAUAUAAUUGGUUGGAUGGCAAGCCCCCCAACCAGUGGGUGAAAGCAUACUUCAGAGAUUUCCCCAAGUGUGACAUUUUGCUGAACAACAUGUCAGAGGUGUACAACAGCUACAUCUUGGAUGCAAGAGAAUUGUGUGUUAUAUCAAUGCUAGAAUGCAUAACACAUAAAAUUACUGUGAGGCAUGACAAAAAGUACAAAGAAGCUUCAGAAAAGUGGACUGGACUUAUCUGCCCCAAGAUUAGGAAGAAACUGGACAAAAAUGCAGAGUACUCGGGUAACUGCUUUCCAACACAUUCAGGACUUGGAAUUUAUGGUGUUGAAUCAGGCAACAACAAGUAUGUUGUGGAUAUUCCAGCAAGAACUUGUGAUUGUAAAAAAAUUCAAUUGGAUGGCAUCCCUUGCAAUCAUGUGAUUGCUUGUUGUAGAGCUGAUAGGAUUGACCCUGAAACAUUGGUUCACAAGUGCUAUAGCAUAGAAAAUUAUCUAAAGGCAUAUGGGCACAACAUCAUGCCUAUGAGGGACAGGAAAAGCUGGGAAAAGAUGAAUGGCAUUCCCAUCCACCCUCCAGUCUUCACAAAGAAAAUGGGCAGGCCAGCAAAGAACAGGAGAAAGACACCAGAAGAGAAGAAGAAGAAAGAUGGAACUGUUUACAUCAACAAAAAAGGAGUGGCCAUGCAUUGCUCAGUGUGUGGCAGU
RNAcentral lists this ribosomal RNA (1284 nucleotides) under Triticum aestivum (bread wheat). RNAcentral's name for it is "partial small subunit ribosomal RNA". Lineage: Eukaryota; Viridiplantae; Streptophyta; Magnoliopsida; Poales; Poaceae. The record is from RNAcentral.